Molecule: small RNA, 665 nt
Filed under: Pongo abelii (Sumatran orangutan)
Lineage: Eukaryota; Metazoa; Chordata; Mammalia; Primates; Hominidae
Description: retained intron
Source: RNAcentral
GGAAAAACAGAAGGAGGGAGAAGGAGGCAGGACUGAGAGAGGAGGGGACAGAGAGGUGUCCUGGGCCUGACCCCACCCAUGAGCCUGAGAGGUGCUCCUGCCCUGGGAAGAGGCUCAGCGCAGAAAGAGGAAGGACAGCACAGGUGACAGCCGUGCUCAGGAAGUUUCUGGAUCCUAGGCUCAUCUCCACUGAGGAGAACACGCAGGCAGCAGAGACCAUGGGGCCCCUCUCAGCCCCUCCCUGCACACAGCGCAUCACCUGGAAGGGGUUCCUGCUCACAGUGGAGACUCCCAAGCCCUCCAUCUCCAGCAGCAACUUAAACCCCAGGGAGGCCAUGGAGGCUGUGAGCUUAACCUGUGAUCCUGAGACUCCGGAUGCAAGCUACUGGUGGUGGAUGAAUGGUCAGAGCCUCCCUAUGACUCACAGGUUGCAGCUGUCCGAAACCAACAGGACCCUCUUUCUAUUGGGUGUCACAAAGCAUACUGCAGGACCCUAUGAAUGUGAAAUACGGAACCCAGUGAGUGCCAGCCGCAGUGACCCAGUCACCCUGAAUCUCCUCCGUGAGUAUCUUCUGUACCUCUGUGAGCCAGGCUGCCAUCCCAAAUACACAUGGCCAGAGGCCAGGCCUCUCAGUCCCUCUCAGGUCCAAGUACAGAGACCUUUA